This is a small nucleolar RNA of Osmerus eperlanus (European smelt), 92 nucleotides long. RefSeq annotates it as small nucleolar SNORD12/SNORD106. The record is from RefSeq and is a predicted model, not a curated record. Lineage: Eukaryota; Metazoa; Chordata; Actinopteri; Osmeriformes; Osmeridae. The transcript has a single exon.
GCUGACUGUAUGAUGACUGAUCUUUUUUCCCCAGCAGAUCGACCAUGUUGACUUCCUGUUUAUUUUAAGCCAAUGUAGUCUGACACAUCAGC